UGGUGUAUACUGGUGAUACAGAUACUUGAUAGUCUACCUAUAAAAAGAAUUACAAUCGAUUCUUUUCAGAUCUACACUUGAGUAUUUAUAUAAGUAAUUAUCUUAAUGGGCCAACUUUAGUAAUUGAUGUAGCUUAAAGAACUGAAAACUGGACAAUGAAGAAGAUGGCAGAUCUUCUUCACUCAAAACAGUAGCAAUAGCUCUUGGAAUCCACCAAGACUCGAAGAUGAAGAAAUAGAGAGAAUAAAGAUAGAAAGAACAGUAGAACUAGAAAUAGAAAAUAGUAAAAGUAGUCAAGGUUUUUAAUACCUGAAUUGAUUAGGGCAUAAGAAUCAAAUAUGCUCCUCCCCAUGGGUGGUCCACCACUCUACCAUAUUUAUACUCAUAUCAUUGGUGGUGAACAAUCCAAUGAUAUGAGUUGGGGCCUUCUAGAAAGGAGAGAUGGUCCGACCUUGGUCAGACCAUAUAUGGGCCACUUCAUAAAAAUUCAGAGGCCCACCCUGUCCUUCAUCGAUCUAUAACUGAAUAUCCAUCAAUAUUCUCAUAAUGCAUGUAAACAGUACAAUUAUUAUGUGCUGCAUCAGUAAUUGGCCCGAUAAGGAUGGAAUCCAAACAGUCUCCAUUUAUCACUUAUAGCUCCUUAGUAAAUGAUUAAUCUUAAUAGUGUUAUACAAUAAACAAUUAAACAUUCUUUCAUCUUCUAGAAUGUUAGAUAGAUAAAUAUAGAUUUAAUCAAAGUUUGAGGUGCGCCAUAGCACGUAGCAUGACUAUCCGCAUUAUGGAGCUAUAAGGAACCAUAACACCUGGUAUUUUAUAUAUAUAUAUAUAUUUUACAAUUACAUACACAUCUGUAUUAUAUAAAAUUAUAAAUAUUGUCAAUUUAGAGUAACUUAAUGCAUUAAAAUACUACAAUGAAAAAAAAAGACAUGGAUACAAAUUACAAAUAGUCAAAAUACAAAGCUAAAUUAGUCGAAAUAAAAGAUUAAAAAAGUCAACAUAUCAUGAAGAAAAAAGAGAGAUAUCGAUCCGAAAAACGGAGAUGCAAACCAGCUCGGGAGAGUGAGAUGAGGUCACCGGAGUCUGGGACGGUAGCCGGAAUUUUCUGAACAGUUGCUGGUGAGUGGAGGUUGGGAAGAGUGGGCUCUAUAGAGUGGAAAUCACGAUUUCACACUAUAGCUUAAUUUUAACCCUAAACAAUUUUUUAUUGGGUAACUGGAGCCUGGAGAAAGCGUUACCACCUAGAAACUGGGUAAUUAUCUAGGGUUAGCAUGUGAUGUAGCCUAGAAACGCAAUUGAAAUAGCGCUAUCAACAGACACUAUAGUGUGCGCUACACAAACCAUGGAUUCGAUAAAAAACUUGACACUGAAUUAAAUAAUGAGUAGAUCCAAAUAUUUUACAUUUCUAUAAAAUAGUGAUGCAACUAGGGAUGUUAAUUGAACCUAACGAACCGAACACCCAAGUAUUCAGUUCAGUUUGUUUAACCAAACAAACCUAAAUUUGGGUUUGGGUUUGGUCCGUUUAGUUAACCAAAAUAAUUAUAUAAGUUAUGAAAAUAUAAAAAUAAUUUAUAAUAUAUCGAUAUAAUAGGUAAAUUACAAAAGAAUUUAUAUAAGUUAUGAAAAUAUAUAAUUAGUUUAUAAUAUAUUAUAUAUAUAUAUAAUAAUAAAAUACUAAAGGAAUCGAACUGUUCAUCGAACCUCAACCAAUUUCAGGUUUGGGUUCGGUUCGUUUGGCUAACCGAACCCAAAUCUUACCAAACCUAAUCUGAACGAUUCGUCAAAUUCGAACUUUUUUUACAAUUCUAGAUGUAACCGGAAAGGAACGUGAUACAUGACUAUCCAAUAAAUGAGUAUACUAAAAAAUCAUCAAUUUACUAGUGGAUGGUAUCAUUAUACAAAUUCAAAAGAAGAUUGUUUUUCAUGUUUGAUUCUAGAAUUAUAUUUUAACGAGAACAAUAUUGAAUGAGAUCAAAGGUUAUGUUUAAAAUAUGCUUUAGAUCUUUGGUUUUGUUAAGACUUGCAAAGGCAAUGUUUUUUAACUGUUUUGAAAACGAUUCUUAAAAUGAAUUACCUAUGAAAUAGUCUUUAUAUUAAUGACCACCAUGAAAAAUGAAAAACGGCUUGGAAUUUUUGUAAUAUGAUAUUACAAUGCAUACAUACAUCCAAAUGCAUCCUAAAAGGAGAGAUUUGUAAAGAAGGAUACCUGUUUCUUCUUAAGAAACAUUCCAGAGCUCGUUCGCACUUUGCUCAAAACACUCUUCCCUGAAUCAUUAUCAGCGACCAUCGAUUUCUCUAGCUUAUCCUUAGCCUGUGCAUAAAAUAAAUUAGAAAUACUUG
Molecule: long non-coding RNA, 2337 nt
Filed under: Zostera marina
Lineage: Eukaryota; Viridiplantae; Streptophyta; Magnoliopsida; Alismatales; Zosteraceae
Description: long non-coding RNA (ZMAR_LNC001525)
Source: RNAcentral